Molecule: ribosomal RNA, 93 nt
Filed under: Mecistogaster modesta
Lineage: Eukaryota; Metazoa; Arthropoda; Insecta; Odonata; Coenagrionidae
Description: partial 16S ribosomal RNA
Source: RNAcentral
AGCCAGGUCGGUUUCUAUCCUCAAUCUUAUAUAAUUUUUAGUACGAAAGGACCAUUAUUAUAAAAUAUUUUUUAUUUGUUUGAAUAUUAUAAA